ACGCGAAGAACCUUACCUACACUUGACAUCCCUUGCAUUACUCUUAAUCGAGGAAAUCCCUUCGGGGACAAGGUGACAGGUGGUGCAUGGUUGUCGUCAGCUCGUGUCGUGAGAUGUUGGGUUAAGUCCCGCAACGAGCGCAACCCUUGUCGUUAGUUACUACCAUUAAGUUGAGGACUCUAGCGAGACUGCCUGGGUUAACCAGGAGGAAGGUGGGGAUGACGUCAAAUCAUCAUGCCCCUUAUGUGUAGGGCUACACACGUGCUACAAUGGCUGGUACAGAGAGAUGCAAUACCGCGAGGUGGAGCCAAACUUUAAAACCAGUCUCAGUUCGGAUUGUAGGCUGAAACUCGCCUACAUGAAG
Molecule: ribosomal RNA, 364 nt
Filed under: bacterium enrichment culture DGGE band A20
Lineage: Bacteria
Description: bacterial SSU rRNA
Rfam family: Bacterial small subunit ribosomal RNA
Source: RNAcentral